This 119-nucleotide ribosomal RNA is filed under the name Helianthus annuus (common sunflower). Lineage: Eukaryota; Viridiplantae; Streptophyta; Magnoliopsida; Asterales; Asteraceae. The record is from RNAcentral.
GGUUGCGAUCAUACCAGCACUAAUGCACCGGAUCCCAUCAGAACUCCGCAGUUAAGCGUGCUUGGGCGAGAGUAGUACUAGGGUGGGUGACCCCCUGGGAAGUCCUCGUGUUGCAACCC